RNAcentral lists this ribosomal RNA (479 nucleotides) under uncultured bacterium. RNAcentral's name for it is "bacterial SSU rRNA". It matches the Rfam family "Bacterial small subunit ribosomal RNA", at positions 29 to 532 of the family's 1533-position model. The record is from RNAcentral.
AACGAACGCUGGCGGCAGGCUUAACACAUGCAAGUCGAACGCCCGUAGCAAUACGGGAGUGGCGGACGGGUGAGUAACGCGUGGGAACGUACCCUGAGGUACGGAAUAACCGAGGGAAACUUCGGCUAAUACCGUAUGAGCCCCGCAAGGGGGAAGAUUUAUCGCCUUGGGAGCGGCCCGCGUCGGAUUAGCUAGUUGGUGGGGUAACGGCCUACCAAGGCUUCGAUCCGUAGCUGGUCUGAGAGGACGAUCAGCCACACUGGGACUGAGACACGGCCCAGACUCCUACGGGAGGCAGCAGUAGGGAAUAUUGGACAAUGGGGGGAACCCUGAUCCAGCCAUGCCGCGUGAGGGAAGAAGGUCCUCUGGAUUGUAAACCUCUUUUGGCAGGAACAAACCUGCGCUAUACGCGCAGCUGAGGGUACCUGCAGAAUAAGCACCGGCUAACUCCGUGCCAGCAGCCGCGGUAAAGUAGUCGU